GAUGAACGCUGGCGGCGUGCCUAAUACAUGCAAGUCGAGCGAACAGAUGAGUAGCUUGCUCCUCUGACGUUAGCGGCGGACGGGUGAGUAACACGUGGAUAACCUACCUAUAAGACUGUGAUAACUUCGGGAAACCGGAGCUACUACCGGCUAAUAUAUUGAACCGCAUGGUUCAAUAGUGAAAGCCGGUUUUGCUGUCACUUAUAGAUGGAUCCGCUCCGCAUUAGCUAGUUGGUAAGGUAACGGCUUACCAAGGCAGCGAUGCGUAGCCGACCUGAGAGGGUGAUCGGCCACACUGGAACUGAGACACGGUCCAGACUCCUACGGGAGGCAGCAGUAGGGAAUCUUCCGCAAUGGGCGAAAGCCUGACGGAGCAACGCCGCGUGAGUGAUGAAGGUCUUCGGAUCGUAAAACACUGUUAUUAGGGAAGAACAAAUGUGUAAGUAACUAUGCACGUCUUGACGGUACCUAAUCAGAAAGCCACGGCUAACUACGUG
RNAcentral lists this ribosomal RNA (497 nucleotides) under uncultured bacterium. RNAcentral's name for it is "partial 16S ribosomal RNA". It matches the Rfam family "Bacterial small subunit ribosomal RNA", at positions 28 to 507 of the family's 1533-position model. The record is from RNAcentral.